UGGCAACUUGGAUUAUGCCUUAUACGCCUGCAAGGUCCAACCAUAUAUCGGAGGAGGAUCGGCCCGCGUUGGAUUAGGUAGUUGGUGGGGUAAUGGCCUACCAAGCCGACGAUCCAUAGCUGGUUUGAGAGGAUGAUCAGCAACACUGGGACUGAGACACGGCCCAGACUCCUACGGGAGGCAGCAGUGGGGAAUCUUGGACAAUGGGGGAAACCCUGAUCCAGCCAUGCCGCGUGAUCGAUGAAGGCCUUAGGGUUGUAAAGAUCUUUCAGCUGGGAAGAUAAUGACGGUACCAGCAGAAGAAGCCCCGGCUAACUCCGUGCCAGCAGCCGCGGUAAUACGGAGGGGGCUAGCGUUGUUCGGAAUUACUGGGCGUAAGCGCACGUAGGCGGAUAGUUAAGUUAGAGGU
This 409-nucleotide ribosomal RNA is filed under the name Amaricoccus sp. UMB 37. RNAcentral describes it as "bacterial SSU rRNA". It matches the Rfam family "Bacterial small subunit ribosomal RNA", at positions 152 to 595 of the family's 1533-position model. The record is from RNAcentral. Lineage: Bacteria; Pseudomonadati; Pseudomonadota; Alphaproteobacteria; Rhodobacterales; Paracoccaceae.